This 497-nucleotide ribosomal RNA is filed under the name uncultured bacterium. RNAcentral's name for it is "partial 16S ribosomal RNA". It matches the Rfam family "Bacterial small subunit ribosomal RNA", at positions 28 to 507 of the family's 1533-position model. The record is from RNAcentral.
GAUGAACGCUGGCGGCGUGCCUAAUACAUGCAAGUCGAGCGAACGGACGAGAAGCUUGCUUCUCUGAUGUUAGCGGCGGACGGGUGAGUAACACGUGGAUAACCUACCUAUAAGACUGGGAUAACUUCGGGAAACCGGAGCUAAUACCGGAUAAUAUUUUGAACCGCAUGGUUCAAAAGUGAAAGACGGUCUUGCUGUCACUUAUAGAUGGAUCCGCGCUGCAUUAGCUAGUUGGUAAGGUAACGGCUUACCAAGGCAACGAUGCGUAGCCGACCUGAGAGGAGGAUCGGCCACACUGGAACUGAGACACGGUCCAGACUCCUACGGGAGGCAGCAGUAGGGAAUCUUCCGCAAUGGGCGAAAGCCUGACGGAGCAACGCCGCGUGAGUGAUGAAGGUCUUCGGAUCGUAAAACUCUGUUAUUAGGGAAGAACAUAUGUGUAAGUAACUGUGCACAUCUUGACGGUACCUAAUCAGAAAGCCACGGCUAACUACGUG